UACGUAGGGUGCGAGCGUUAAUCGGAAUUACUGGGCGUAAAGCGUGCGCAGGCGGUUGUGCAAGACAGAUGUGAAAUCCCCGGGCUUAACCUGGGAAUUGCAUUUGUGACUGCACGGCUAGAGUGCGUCAGAGGGGGGUAGAAUUCCACGUGUAGCAGUGAAAUGCGUAGAUAUGUGGAGGAAUACCGAUGGCGAAGGCAGCCCCCUGGGAUGACACUGACGCUCAUGCACGAAAGCGUGGGGAGCAAACAGG
RNAcentral lists this ribosomal RNA (253 nucleotides) under uncultured bacterium. RNAcentral's name for it is "partial 16S ribosomal RNA". It matches the Rfam family "Bacterial small subunit ribosomal RNA", at positions 524 to 776 of the family's 1533-position model. The record is from RNAcentral.